RNAcentral lists this ribosomal RNA (484 nucleotides) under uncultured bacterium. Its description in RNAcentral is "partial 16S ribosomal RNA". It matches the Rfam family "Bacterial small subunit ribosomal RNA", at positions 28 to 523 of the family's 1533-position model. The record is from RNAcentral.
GAUGUACGCUGGCGGCGUGCUUAACACAUGCAAGUCGAACGGUGAAGCAGGAGCUUGCUCUUGUGGAUCAGUGGCGAACGGGUGAGUAACACGUGAGCAACCUGCCCCUGACUCUGGGAUAAGCGCUGGAAACGGCGUCUAAUACUGGAUAUGUGAUGUGACCGCAUGGUCUGCAUCUGGAAAGAAUUUCGGUUGGGGAUGGGCUCGCGGCCUAUCAGCUUGUUGGUGAGGUAAUGGCUCACCAAGGCGUCGACGGGUAGCCGGCCUGAGAGGGUGACCGGCCACACUGGGACGGAGACACGGCCCAGACUCCUACGGGAGGCAGCAGUGGGGAAUAUUGCACAAUGGGCGGAAGCCUGAUGCAGCAACGCCGCGUGAGGGAUGACGGCCUUCGGGUUGUAAACCUCUUUUAGCAGGGAAGAAGCGAAAGUGACGGUACCUGCAGAAAAAGCACCGGCUAACCACGUGCCAGCAGCCGCCGUAA